AUUGAACGCUGGCGGCAUGCCUUACACAUGCAAGUCGAACGGUAACGGGCCUUCGGGUGCCGACGAGUGGCGAACGGGUGCGUAAUACAUCGGAACGUGCCCGAUCGUGGGGGAUAACGAGGCGAAAGCUUUGCUAAUACCGCAUACGAUCUACGGAUGAAAGCAGGGGACCGCAAGGCCUUGCGCGGACGGAGCGGCCGAUGGCAGAUUAGGUAGUUGGUGGGAUAAAAGCUUACCAAGCCGACGAUCUGUAGCUGGUCUGAGAGGAUGAUCAGCCACACUGGGACUGAGACACGGCCCAGACUCCUACGGGAGGCAGCAGUGGGGAACUUUGGACGAUGGGAGCAAGCCUGAUCCAGCCAUGCCGCGUGCAGGGUGAAGGCCUUCGGGUUGUAAACUGCUUUUGUACGGAACGAAAAGCCUUCUUUUAAUACAGGAGGGUCAUGACGGUACCGGAAGAAUAAGCACCGGCUAACUACGUG
RNAcentral lists this ribosomal RNA (482 nucleotides) under uncultured bacterium. Its description in RNAcentral is "partial 16S ribosomal RNA". It matches the Rfam family "Bacterial small subunit ribosomal RNA", at positions 30 to 507 of the family's 1533-position model. The record is from RNAcentral.